This 465-nucleotide ribosomal RNA is filed under the name Vreelandella stevensii. RNAcentral's name for it is "partial 16S ribosomal RNA". It matches the Rfam family "Bacterial small subunit ribosomal RNA", at positions 338 to 795 of the family's 1533-position model. The record is from RNAcentral. Lineage: Bacteria; Pseudomonadati; Pseudomonadota; Gammaproteobacteria; Oceanospirillales; Halomonadaceae.
CCUACGGGUGGCUGCAGUGGGGAAUAUUGGACAAUGGGCGAAAGCCUGAUCCAGCCAUGCCGCGUGUGUGAAGAAGGCCUUCGGGUUGUAAAGCACUUUCAGUGGGGAAGAAAGCCUUGGGGCUAAUACCCUCGAGGUAGGACAUCACCCACAGAAGAAGCACCGGCUAACUCCGUGCCAGCAGCCGCGGUAAUACGGAGGGUGCGAGCGUUAAUCGGAAUUACUGGGCGUAAAGCGCGCGUAGGCGGUCUGAUAAGCCGGUUGUGAAAGCCCCGGGCUCAACCUGGGAACGGCAUCCGGAACUGUCAGGCUAGAGUGCAGGAGAGGAAGGUAGAAUUCCCGGUGUAGCGGUGAAAUGCGUAGAGAUCGGGAGGAAUACCAGUGGCGAAGGCGGCCUUCUGGACUGACACUGACGCUGAGGUGCGAAAGCGUGGGUAGCAAACAGGAUUAGAUACCCCAGUAGUC